Molecule: transfer RNA, 77 nt
Filed under: Distolasterias nipon
Lineage: Eukaryota; Metazoa; Echinodermata; Asteroidea; Forcipulatida; Asteriidae
Description: tRNA-Asp
Source: RNAcentral
CAAGGAAUUAGUUAAAUUAACCAUAACACCGGAUUGUCAGACCGGAAUCACUAGCAAUCAUCCUAGUAUUUCUUGAC